This 1545-nucleotide long non-coding RNA is filed under the name Marmota monax (woodchuck). The record is from RNAcentral. Lineage: Eukaryota; Metazoa; Chordata; Mammalia; Rodentia; Sciuridae.
AAGUCACCCCUGCUGAGCCAGCUAGGUGCCUUGCCCGCACCCCCUAACCUGGGGCUGGCCUACCACGGUUUCUGCGUGACAUCACUCUUGCAGACCAGAAGAGCAAGAAGGGAACUUGGGAUCCCGUUCUGUUGGGCACCGGGCAGGCGCCUAGAUUAGGUCCUUACCUGUCACAGACCUCCUCGAAUUGGAAGGAAGGCCCCAGAGUCUGCUGUGAGCAUGAAUCCCUGCCUCAUGUGCUGUGAGGUCAGCACGGGCUCAGCCUGCAGUUGGUCCUUUCUAGAAAGAAACUAUGCUGUGUCUCACGGAGUGAAACGCACCGUGGACGCACUCUCUUCCUUCACCCUUUGAAUCAGGCACCUGGCAGAAGCCGCAGCCAGUCCUGUGUACAGGCACAAAGGUCUUGCCACCUGGCUCGCUGCCUCUUCACUGUCACCAAAGGGCAGAACUUUGAACAUUUGCAUUCCAAGUGGCAUUCCUGCCCUGUGGCAGGGCCAGGUACAGUGUGCCCAGAGCAGCAUUCCCUCAGAAACACACAGGAAACAGGCUCAGAGGCACAGCCACAGGAGGAGGGAGACAGACAGCAAGAGGGACCCCUGCAGAGAGGUGGGGCGGGCAAAGACAUCGAAGAGAAAAGGAGAGGCAGAGAUAACAAAGAACCGUUUUGAAUGAAGCCUAAACAUCUCCUCCUUUAAACCUUUACUGGGGAGACCUUUGUCAUUAGUCACCAGGACUGAUGGCACCAUUAGACUUUGUCAUUAGUCACCAGGACUAAUGACACCAUUAGACCUUUGUCAUUACCUGCCAUUUUCCGGCAUGACUGUUGACUCCUCAGGAUGCCAUGAGAUGGGAAGGUGUAUGGUGGUAGUUGGAUGCAUGUGCCAGGGGGUGACUCAGCCAUGCCCAGCAAGGCAAAACAGAAGCCUGUGAGUGACCUGGAGGACUGCAGGGGCCUAAAGCCCUGCUCCCACCUGCUGGGGUUGGAUGUCAACUACCUAGAGCUCCUGGGAGUCCCAGCCCCCCCACUCCUGCCCCACCCUCUCUGCUCCCUUUGAUCAGCUCCGUUGUCCCAGCCUAAUGAGUCAGAGUAAAGAUGGGAGCAUUUCUGUUCUGCUUUUAUCAGACCUGUGACAAAACCCCUUGGCUGAAAACACCUGAGCAGCAGCAGAGGUCCACUGGGAAAGCCAGAGGACAGAGACUUCCUGCCUCACCCACUGACAGCUCGCUCUUAUUUCUCUCUCACUGACUCCAGAUUUUGAAAGCUCACGACCACCAAGGAAACUACCUCACAUGAUCCUGUCUUUAUUAAUCAAGCACAUAAUAAUUACACAUGCAAUUUUAAAAGAGAAGUAAUAACAAACACCAUUGGCCUGAUGGGUGAGAGUUAGGUUUGAUGAGCAAGGAUGGUAGGCAUAUGGUUGUCCACUAUUGGGGUAUAUUUAACGUGUUUCCUAGCGAACAGUAAGAGCAUGUUGAACCUGUAUUCAGCUUAAUUCUGAAUUCUUAAUAUGACUGGUAUUUUCAGAUAGGAUUGAAAGGUUUAUU